RNAcentral lists this ribosomal RNA (468 nucleotides) under uncultured bacterium. RNAcentral describes it as "partial 16S ribosomal RNA". It matches the Rfam family "Bacterial small subunit ribosomal RNA", at positions 28 to 507 of the family's 1533-position model. The record is from RNAcentral.
GACGAACGCUGGCGGCGUGCUUAACACAUGCAAGUCGAACGGAAAGGCCCUGCUUUUGUGGGGUGCUCGAGUGGCGAACGGGUGAGUAACACGUGAGUAACCUGCCCUUGACUUUGGGAUAACUUCAGGAAACUGGGGCUAAUACCGGAUAGGAGCUCCUGCUGCAUGGUGGGGGUUGGAAAGUUUCGGCGGUUGGGGAUGGACUCGCGGCUUAUCAGCUUGUUGGUGGGGUAGUGGCUUACCAAGGCUUUGACGGGUAGCCGGCCUGAGAGGGUGACCGGCCACAUUGGGCCUGCGAUACGGCCCAGUCUCCUACGGGAGGCGGCAGUGGCGACUAUUGCACAAUGGGCGGAAGCCUGAUGCAGCGACGCCGCGUGCGGGAUGACGGCCUUCGGGUUGUAAACCGCUUUCGCCUGUUACGAAGCGUGAGUGACGGUACUGGGUAAAGAAGCACCGGCUAACUACGUG